GGAAAUUAAUUAAAGGUCUUUUGCAUGCUUUUCCACGGCUUUCUUGAACUUAAUUAGUACGGUUAAUUUUUUUGUGCUAUUAACAAGCAAUUAAUAUGCAAAUCUUUAAUCAGUGCAAAGCUCAAGAAUGCCGUGGGAAAACAUGAAAGGUUUUUGUCGUGCCACCACCC
RNAcentral lists this microRNA precursor (170 nucleotides) under Citrus sinensis (sweet orange). Its description in RNAcentral is "miR396e stem-loop (csi-MIR396e)". Its record names the gene csi-MIR396e. Lineage: Eukaryota; Viridiplantae; Streptophyta; Magnoliopsida; Sapindales; Rutaceae. The record is from miRBase by way of RNAcentral.